AGUGAACGCUGGCGGUAGGCCUAACACAUGCAAGUCGAACGGCAGCACAUUAAUAGCUUGCUCUUACGGGUGGCGAGUGGCGGACGGGUGAGGAAUACAUCGGAAUCUACUUUUUCGUGGGUUAUAACGUAUGGAAACUUACGCUAAUACCGCAUACGACCUACUGGUGAAAGCAGGGGAUCUUCGGACCUUGCGCGAUUGAAUGAGCCGAUGUCGGAUUAGCUAGUUGGCGGGGUAAAGGCCCACCAAGGCGACGAUCCGUAGCUGGUCUGAGAGGAUGAUAAGCCACACUGGAACUGAGACACGGUCCAGACGACUAAGGGAGGCAGCAGUGGGGAAUAUUGGACAAUGGGCGCAAGCAUGAUCCAGCCAGACCGCGUGGGUGAAGAAGGCCUUCGGGUUGUAAAGACCUUUUGUUGGGAAAGAAAAGCAGCAGGUUAAUACCCAGCUGUUCGGAAAGUACCCAAAGAAUAAGCAACGGCUAAAUUAGUG
Molecule: ribosomal RNA, 492 nt
Filed under: uncultured bacterium
Lineage: Bacteria
Description: partial 16S ribosomal RNA
Rfam family: Bacterial small subunit ribosomal RNA
Source: RNAcentral